CGUAGGGGGCAAGCGUUGUUCGGAAUUACUGGGCGUAAAGGGCGCGUAGGCGGCACGGCAAGUCGGGAGUGAAAGCCCGGGGCUCAACCCCGGAACGGCUCUCGAAACUGCCGAGCUAGAGUGCGGAAGGGGCAACUGGAAUUCCCAGUGUAGCGGUGAAAUGCGUAGAUAUUGGGAAGAACACCUGAGGCGAAGGCGGGUUGCUGGGCCGACACUGACGCUGAGGCGCGAAAGCCAGGGGAGCAAACGGGAUUAGAUACCCCGGUAGUCCUGGCCCUAAACGAUGGAUACUUGGUGUGUGGGGUUCUCUGAGUCCCCGCGUGCCGGAGCUAACGCGGUAAGUACCCCGCCUGGGGAGUACGGUCGCAAGGCUG
Molecule: ribosomal RNA, 374 nt
Filed under: uncultured organism
Description: bacterial SSU rRNA
Rfam family: Bacterial small subunit ribosomal RNA
Source: RNAcentral